CGCUAUAAAACCAACACCAACUGUGUGCCGGCGCAUGGUGCUAGCGCAAUAGCGCCAUUGGUUUUUCUAUUCAACUUAAGCGCAACCCUUUGUUACAGUGCACUGAUUUAAUGUGAUAACGAUAAUAUCUUGCCAUCUCCUACUGUAGAUACCAUCAUUCUUUUAUUUCUUUUGGCGCAAUUUUAUGGAAUUUGGUCUGCAAAAUUCUUUAAAGGUAUCUUCGAUUUCAUAAAUAACGUCAACACGUGACAGCAACAGGUAAAAUAGGGGAACAACCUGGCAGUAUGGGCAUCAUCUAUUUCCAGUUAUCAAUUCCAAUGCCGAAAAUAUAAAAAUGUUACAACGGCAAGUCAAUAGACGGCAAUAGAUUGGUCAACAUCCGCGUAUUAUAUUACAAAGCCAUUGCACAGACAGUCUACCAUUUGCACUACUUAAAAUUGAAUGACACAUUUUAAAACUUUUAAUUAAAUUAAAGUAAAAUAAAAUGGCUACAAAAAAAACGAGUGACAUCUGGCUCAAUUUUUCUGAGGAAAAAGACCAAAAAGUCACAUGCAAGAGCUGUGGCCAAAAGUUGUCAGCGGAAAACAAGUCAAUCUGUUCAGCAUAUGAAGAGGAAGCACCCCACCCAGAUUAUUUCGAGGCAGACAAACGUAGUAAGUGAAAACAAUAGUGUUGAAUCGGGGCCACCUCCUCCACAAAGUCUUCAACUGCAGCAAACAAACCAGCUAACCAUUCAACAAAUUUUUCAGUACUUUAAUAAACCAA
Molecule: long non-coding RNA, 765 nt
Organism: Rhagoletis zephyria (snowberry fruit fly)
Lineage: Eukaryota; Metazoa; Arthropoda; Insecta; Diptera; Tephritidae
Source: RefSeq, a predicted model, not a curated record